GCUUGGCUUGCCUAUGGGUGUGUCUGCAGAGAAGGUAUUUUUGCUGAGGCUCUAGUCUCCAGAAUUUGUCACUCUGGAGGGACUUGGGGGGUCCUGGCUGGUUUUCUUCAGCAGCAGAGGACCUUUCAGUUGGGGGAAUGAUAAUGGGGGCAUCUCUUAUUUCCAAACUCUGGCAGUUUCCUUCCAUGUGGAGGGAACAACAUCCCUGGCCUGUCGGCUGCCUGCCACUCACCCGUCCCCGGAGCAGGUGACAUUCUGAUCAGAGAGUUUGAAGGAGAAACGGGGCAAGUGUGGACCAGUCCAUUCUUCUCUUCUUUCUGUUUCCCACGAAGAGCAUGGAAUCUACUCUGCUUCUGACUGGAGAGUUUGCAGGCCAGGCUCCUACGUGGGGAAGCCUGUAGAGGCCCAACGCUGCCUCCAAGGCUUGGGGGAGGCAAAUCUGUCUCAUUCUGGGGUUAAGUCCUGAGGAGCCCAUUUGCCUGCACAGCAAAGCCACAUUCCUCCACAUCUUGAUUUCUACUAGGUGAUAUAUUUGAUUUUGCAAAUUCCUUCCUCUUACGACACCCCAGCAUAAACCUGCAACGUGGCUGACUGGUUGGAAGAGCAUAUUGAAGGAGUGAAGCCAAGCAUGAGCUACGAUCAGUGACCAUGGACUCAUAAGGCUUUUGUUUAAGAAUUGCCUAAGAUGUUCUUCAGAUCCUGAAUUCCAGCAGGAAAGCUAAUGCCAACCAGUUUGAAAACAACCACAGAGGAAUCGAAUCAGCACGAGAAUGCAGUUUCUUCAUUUCCCUGUCCCAUGACUUUACUCUGCACUCUUUGACCAAUCAAUAAUCCUGGACCUUGGCCCACUUCAAACCCCUUGAAAUCUCUAGCUCCAACUCCCUGGAGGGGUGGAUUUGAGGUUUCCUCCUGUUUCCUUGUUUGGCUGCCGUAUGAUUAUUAAACUCUUUCUUUGCUGCAAUC
Molecule: long non-coding RNA, 963 nt
Filed under: Homo sapiens (human)
Lineage: Eukaryota; Metazoa; Chordata; Mammalia; Primates; Hominidae
Description: HSALNT0277132
Source: RNAcentral